Molecule: ribosomal RNA, 242 nt
Filed under: uncultured bacterium
Lineage: Bacteria
Description: partial 16S ribosomal RNA
Rfam family: Bacterial small subunit ribosomal RNA
Source: RNAcentral
UGAGGAACAUGACCUUCGGCGGGGGAUAGCCGGCCCAACGGCCGGGUAAUACCGCGUACGACCUUUCGGGGACAUCCCCGGAUGGUGAAAGCAGCAAUGCGCCGAUGGAGUGCCUCGCGGCCUAUCAGCUAGUUGGUGAGGUAACGGCUCACCAAGGCAACGGACGGGUAGCUGGUCUGAGAGGAUGGCCAGCCACAGUUGGGACUGAGACACCGGCCCAGACCUCCGUACGGGAGGNAGCG